CCUACGGGUGGCAGCAGUGAGGAAUAUUGGUCAAUGGACGAGAGUCUGAACCAGCCAAGUAGCGUGAAGGAUGACUGCCCUAUGGGUUGGAAACUUCUUUUAUAAAGGAAUACAACGCGUCACGUGUGCCUUUUUGCAUGUACUUUAUGAAUAAGGAUCGGCUAACUCCGUGCCAGCCGCCGCGGUAAUACGGAGGAUCCGAGCGUUAUCCGGAUUUAUUGGGUUGAAAGGGCGCGUAGAUGGGUUGUUACGUCAGUUGUGACAGCUUGCGGCUCCACCGUAAAAUUGCAAUUGAUACUGGCAGUCUUGAGUACAGUUGAGGUAGGCGGAAUUCGUGGUGUAGCGGUGAAAUGCUUAGAUAUCACGAAGAACCCCGAUUGCGAAGGCAGCUUACUAAACUGUGACUGACAUUGAUGCUCGAAAGUGUGGGUAUCAAACAGGAUUAGAUACCCGGGUAGUC
RNAcentral lists this ribosomal RNA (460 nucleotides) under uncultured bacterium. RNAcentral describes it as "partial 16S ribosomal RNA". It matches the Rfam family "Bacterial small subunit ribosomal RNA", at positions 338 to 795 of the family's 1533-position model. The record is from RNAcentral.